Molecule: long non-coding RNA, 1132 nt
Organism: Lolium perenne
Lineage: Eukaryota; Viridiplantae; Streptophyta; Magnoliopsida; Poales; Poaceae
Source: RefSeq, a predicted model, not a curated record
UACUUCUAAAGCAAAGUAAAGCCCCCAUCUUUGCUCAUUUGUUAGGUUUGGGUGUCUGUUGUUACUAGUUGCUCCUUCCAUAUUGGUUUCUUCAUCUUGAUCUACCAACAUCUCCUCUUCUACUGCAGGUAUGUGGACAUCAUCUUCGUCAAGCGGAGUGUAGUUGAGGUCAAGUGGGGCGUUGUUGAGGUGCUGGGAGCACCAUAGUGAACUUGCUGAUCAGCUGAAAGGUAGACCGGCGAGGAGCAGCUGAAAGGUAGACCGGCGAGGAGCAACUGAAAGACAGACCUGCGAGGAGCAGCUGAUAAGUUGCCAGGUAAGGUGGCCAUGUGGACCAGCACACAAGACCAAAACUGAUGACCAAAACUAAUGGACUGAGUAUGUCAGGUACCUUUCCUUCCCCGACAAAUUGACUGGAGUUGCAGCAGCUCCUGCCUUCCUCUUUUGGCGACGCACUCGGCUAAGAGCGGCGGAUGGCGAGGAGGUGGAGAACUAUGGCCUCCACGUUCGUUGAAGCGACAGCGAGCGCACGGAGGACCCUGCGACGGCGGCCCCUGCGACGGCGACCAGAGCAGCGGACGACGGCCGGAGGUGGAGCUGCUCACGGCGGCACCUCAGACGGUGGGCGUCGCGGCGGCCCCUCAGACGGUGGGCGGAGCGGCGGCUGGAGAUGGAGCUGCUCACAGCGGGCCCUCGCGCGUGGUCGCGGCGGACGGCGGCCCCUCCGACGGCGAGAAGAGCGGCGGACGGCCGCCGGAGGUGGAGCUGCUUGCGGCGGCUGGUGGAGGGCGCCGGCGAGCUCGUGGAGGGCGCCGGCGAGCUCGUGGAGGGCGCCGGCGAGCUCGUGGAGGGCGCCGGCGAGCUAGUGGAGGGCUCCGGCGAGCUCUUGCAUGGCUCCGGCGAGCUCGUGCAGGGGUGCCGGUGAGCUCGUGCGGCGCGGAUCGCGGCCGGAUCGUGGCCGGAUCACGCGCGCGGCCGCUGAUUGCGUGCGUUGUUUCCGUGAUCUGAUUGUGGGGAGUUUGUUGGACUGAUUUCAAAGUGUAAAGGGUUUUUCUGUAAAAUGGUCAACAGUUCAAAAUAUUUCUCCCCCGCGCAGCUUUUUUCGGGACGGAGGGAGUACUUUUUUUGGAAA